GUGCCAGCAGCCGCGGUAAUACCGGCAGCCCAAGUGAUGGCCGAUCUUAUUGGGCCUAAAGCGUCCGUAGCUGGCCGCACAAGUCCAUCGGGAAAUCCACCUGCUCAACAGGUGGCCGUCCGGUGGAAACUGUGUGGCUUGGGACCGGAAGGCGCGACGGGUACGUCCGGGGUAGGAGUGAAAUCCCAUAAUCCCGCACGGACCACCGAUGGCGAAAGCACUUCGAGAAAACGGAUCCGACAGUGAGGGACGAAAGCCAGGGUCUCCAACCGGAUUAGAAACCCGAGUAGUCC
Molecule: ribosomal RNA, 293 nt
Filed under: uncultured bacterium
Lineage: Bacteria
Description: partial 16S ribosomal RNA
Rfam family: Archaeal small subunit ribosomal RNA
Source: RNAcentral